Molecule: ribosomal RNA, 1237 nt
Filed under: Candidatus Phytoplasma citri
Lineage: Bacteria; Bacillati; Mycoplasmatota; Mollicutes; Acholeplasmatales; Acholeplasmataceae
Description: bacterial SSU rRNA
Rfam family: Bacterial small subunit ribosomal RNA
Source: RNAcentral
GCUAAGACUGGAUAGGAAGAAAUAAGGCAUCUUUUUUCUUUUAAAAGACCUAGUGAUAGGUAUACUUUAGGAGGGGCUUGCGCCAUAUUAGUUAGUUGGUAGGGUAAUGGCCUACCAAGACGAUGAUGUGUAGCUGGACUGAGAGGUUGAACAGCCACAUUGGGACUGAGACACGGCCCAAACUCCUACGGGAGGCAGCAGUAGGGAAUUUUCGGCAAUGGAGGAAACUCUGACCGAGCAACGCCGCGUGAACGACGAAGUACUUUGGUAUGUAAAGUUCUUUUAUCAAGGAAGAAAAGCAAGUGGUGAACCAUUUGUUUGCCGGUACUUGAUGAAUAAGCCCCGGCUAAUUAUGUGCCAGCAGCCGCGGUAAGACAUAAGGGGCAAGUGUUAUCCGGAAUUAUUGGGCGUAAAGGGUGCGUAGGCGGUCUAGUAAGUCAGUGGUGUAAUGGCAACGCUCAACGUUGUCCGGCUAUUGAAACUGCUAAACUUGAGUUAGAUAGAGGCGAGUGGAAUUCCAUGUGUAGCGGUAAAAUGCGUAAAUAUAUGGAGGAACACCAGAGGCGUAGGCGGCUCGCUGGGUCUUAACUGACGCUGAGGCACGAAAGCGUGGGAGCAAACAGGAUAAGAUACCUGGUAGUCCACGCCGUAAACGAUGAGUACUAAGUGUCGGGUUAAACCCGGUACUGAAGUUAACACAUUAAGUACUCCGCCUGAGUAGUACGUACGCAAGUAUGAAACUUAAAGGAAUUGACGGGACUCCGCACAAGCGGUGGAUCAUGUUGUUUAAUUCGAAGAUACCCGAAAAACCUUACCAGGUCUUGACAUGUUUUUGCGAAACGGUAGUAAUAUCGUGGAGGUUAUCAGAAACACAGGUGGUGCAUGGUUGUCGUCAGCUCGUGUCGUGAGAUGUUAGGUUAAGUCCUAAAACGAGCGAAACCCUUAUCGUUAGUUGCCAGCACGUUAUGGUGGGGACUUUAACGAGACUGCCAGUGAUAAAUUGGAGGAAGGUGAGGAUCACGUCAAAUCAGCAUGCCCCUUAUGACCUGGGCUACAAACGUGAUACAAUGGCUGUUACAAAGGGUAGCUGAAACGCAAGUUCUUGGCCAAUCCCCAAAAACAGUCUCAGUCCGGAUUGAAGUCUGCAACUCGACUUCAUGAAGUUGGAAUCGCUAGUAAUCGCGAAUCAGCAUGUCGCGGUGAAUACGUUCUCGGGGUUUGUACACACCGCCCGUCA